Molecule: ribosomal RNA, 427 nt
Filed under: uncultured Nitrosomonas sp.
Lineage: Bacteria; Pseudomonadati; Pseudomonadota; Betaproteobacteria; Nitrosomonadales; Nitrosomonadaceae
Description: bacterial SSU rRNA
Rfam family: Bacterial small subunit ribosomal RNA
Source: RNAcentral
GGAGGAAAGUAGGGGAUCGAAAGACCUUAUGCUUUUGGAGCGGCCGAUGUCUGAUUAGCUAGUUGGUAAGGUAAUGGCUUACCAAGGCAACGAUCAGUAGUUGGUCUGAGAGGACGACCAGCCACACUGGGACUGAGACACGGCCCAGACUCCUACGGGAGGCAGCAGUGGGGAAUUUUGGACAAUGGGCGCAAGCCUGAUCCAGCAAUGCCGCGUGAGUGAAGAAGGCCUUCGGGUUGUAAAGCUCUUUCAGUUGAGAAGAAAAGAUUGUGACUAAUAAUUGCAAUUCAUGACGGUAUCAACAGAAGAAGCACCGGCUAACUACGUGCCAGCAGCCGCGGUAGUACGUAGGGUGCGAGCGUUAAUCGGAAUUACUGGGCGUAAAGGGUGCGCAGGCGGUUCUGUAAGUCAGAUGUGAAAUCCCCCC